Molecule: ribosomal RNA, 253 nt
Filed under: uncultured prokaryote
Description: partial 16S ribosomal RNA
Rfam family: Bacterial small subunit ribosomal RNA
Source: RNAcentral
ACGUAGGGACCAAGCGUUGUUCGGAUUUACUGGGCGUAAAGGGCGCGUAGGCGGCAAUUCAAGUCAGCUGUGAAAUCUCUGGGCUUAACUCGGGACGGUCAGCUGAUACUGCUUUGCUAGAGUGCAGAAGGGGCAAUCGGAAUUCUUGGUGUAGCGGUGAAAUGCGUAGAUAUCGAGAGGAACACCUGCGGCGAAGGCGGGUUGCUGGGCUGAUACUGACGCUGAGGCGCGAAAGCUAGGGGAGCGAACGGGA